This is a long non-coding RNA of Protobothrops mucrosquamatus (brown spotted pit viper), 562 nucleotides long. RefSeq lists it as uncharacterized. The transcript has 6 exons. NCBI's taxonomy places the organism in Eukaryota, Metazoa, Chordata, Lepidosauria, Squamata, Viperidae. The record is from RefSeq and is a predicted model, not a curated record.
UUGGCGGUCCGAACGUUCUUGCCUGCUCCCCGCCCGCCCCCCCCGCUCUCGGAGGCGGCGCGCGCAGCCAUGGCGGUCAAGAUCAAGGUGGUUUACUGUGGAGCCUGAGGCUACAAACCCAAGUUUCAACAGCUCAGAAAGGAACUCGAAAAAGAGUUUCCGGGCAAGCUGGAAAUUAGCGGAGAAGGGACUCCACAGGUCACGGGAUGGUUUGAAGUGAUGGUAGCCGGCAAGGUGGUGCACUCCAAAAAGAACGGAGAUGGCUUUGUGGACGACGAUGCCAAACUCAACAAGAUAAUUAAGGCCAUCAAAAUAGCUUUGGCAUGAGGACGACUUUAAGCGUGGGCUAGCAGCUCAGAAUGCAACAGAGUUCAAGAAAAAUCUGUUUUGCUCAUCUUGGCAAAUCGCUCGAUGACGGGAGCUGCUGAAAUGUUGUCUGACACCUGGCAGUUCCCUGAAAACUUUGCGCUGGAUGCCAACUUGAUCAAGGCCAGAUGGAAGAACUUGUGCUCUAAGUCAGUGUUUGGGUGUAAAUUAAAAAUUAAGCCUGCAACUCCUAACA